RNAcentral lists this unclassified non-coding RNA (1095 nucleotides) under Hevea brasiliensis (rubber tree). Lineage: Eukaryota; Viridiplantae; Streptophyta; Magnoliopsida; Malpighiales; Euphorbiaceae. The record is from RNAcentral.
GCAAGACAGAACUGGUUGAUCACCCCUACUACAAUUUGAAAACUUACAUUUGCAGAUGACAAACUGCUUUGAGCAACCCCAAGAAUAAAUACAAAAAGUUACUGAAAGGGAAAUCGAAUUGAGGCUGUUAAUGAAUAGACAAUAUUACUUCCUCUCUAGCUGCUAGCUAGCCAAGUGGCUGGGGGAGCUGUUGAACAUACUGUGCCACAUGUAUGCUCUAGAAAGUACCAUCUCAAGCUCUUGGUGCGUCCAGUUGUGAGUUGGAAGGUGUUGAAGAAACAUCACCAACUCUUGGAAAUCAAGUUUCUGAAGCUUAUCUGACCACGUCAAAAGAAAACUGGUGUAUAUGUACACAAGGAAAUCUGGUAAUGCAUCUCCUUCAGCCAGGUAUGUAUCCCACAGGCGGGUAACAAGAUGAAAAGGGAUCUCGCGUAUUAAAAGACAAUUGAACCAGCGAAAAGCAAAUUGAAGAAAUUCAAGCCCUUGCUCUUCCAUGUGCCUUGAAACAGGUUCAUCAAUCCGACUAACCAAUUCCUUCAACUUAAACACAAGUCUCUGUAUCCCAGGUUGAGCAAAAGUGUAGUGGUCUUGCAUGCCAUCUAGCAAUUUCGACAGGCACCAAUAACAAUCAGCCUCUAUGUCAGACAUUUUAUCUGGAGGUAGAUCAGAUAUGGACCAGUUAUCGAUGUCUCCUUCUAAGUAUUCAGACAAGAAAACAACCAGAAAGGGCGUAGCAAGAUCAUUUAUUCCCUGAACAUAUCCACUUGCAGGAUGUCGAAUUGCCCAUGUAUAAAGAAUGCGCUCCAAGGAUUUCUGAACCUGUUCUUGUUGGAAGAAAGUGACAUCCGGUACAGUUCUUGGACAAUCAACAGAAAUCUGGCGAAGCAUGUUAAUCUCAUCAUCUGAACGUUCAGUAUCUGGAAUGUCAUAAAACUGAGCCACACAAUCAAGAUACUCGAGCCGCUUCCUUCUCAAAACCCCCUCCCUUCUAUCUGAAUUAGGUGGUGCAUAUCCCAAGAGAAGCCUCCAAAUGUUGGGGCGCAUAUAUGGUGGCACACCACUCCAAGCUAACUCACGCAAUCUCUCUAAUAUAAC